Molecule: ribosomal RNA, 253 nt
Filed under: uncultured bacterium
Lineage: Bacteria
Description: partial 16S ribosomal RNA
Rfam family: Bacterial small subunit ribosomal RNA
Source: RNAcentral
UACGUAGGUGGCAAGCGUUGUCCGGAUUUACUGGGCGUAAAGAGCGCGCAGGCGGUCGUUCAAGUCGCGUGUGAAAGCCCCCGGCUCAACUGGGGAGGGUCACGCGAUACUGAUCGACUCGAAGGCAGGAGAGGGUAGUGGAAUUCCCGGUGUAGUGGUGAAAUGCGUAGAUAUCGGGAGGAACACCAGUGGCGAAGGCGGCGACCUGGUCCGUGACUGACGCUGAGGCGCGAAAGCGUGGGGAGCAAACAGG